ACCCGGGACCUUGCAACGCUGCUUUCUCUGUGCCCUUUGCCUUCGGUCCUUUCUCUGGGUCUGGUCCGUGUGUCUCUCAGCCACUCCUUUCCUCCCAGACUCACACGGUCAGCCGUGGGUCACCUCAGCAGAGCCCCUCUGUGCCCUGGCCUGCAGCUCAUUCCAGUGGGAACCCCACUCUGCGUCCUUCAGUCUGUCCAGCUCUUCCUCCCGCCCGGGGUCACGUGGUCCAGGACCCCUUCCCCCCCAGCCUCCAAGCUGCCCCUGAACCUUCUGGAAGCUCCGGGGCUGGAUCAGGUCCUCUUCCUUCCUGCUGCCACAGCCCCCUCUCGCCCUCCUGUGGCCCCAGGGAUACCACCUCAGCAUUUGUGUUCCCCCCAACUAGACUGUGCCCCUGAGGGGACCCCCUCCUCUCCUCGGUGACCCUAGCACAUCACCUGGAGCCUGGCACAUUGCAGAAGCUGCGUGACGGAGGACAGAGCCACACUGGCAGGCGGGCGCGGGGACGGACGCACCGUCCUGGAUUUCAUUGGAACGAGGCCUAGAGAUUGCAAGUGCAGGUGGAAAAUUUUGGAACUCCGUGACAGAGACUCCACGAGGGAACAGCAAGUAUCAAAGGCGAUGAAGAGGCUGCGGCUCAGAGGGGUUAAGAAGCUUGUGCAGAACCACACAGCUAGUUAAAUGGAGGAAUGGGAUGCUAACCAGAGAUGUCUGACUCGGAAGCCGGCGUUAAGAAUGGCCUUCUCUGAUGUUGGCAAUCUGCACAAUGAUUCGUGUCCAACAAAGGAUGCCAGGGCCGAGCCCCGAGGGCCACGCCAACACCUGGCUGCCUGGGCGGGCGGCUUCUCCUUCUUGCAGGAGAAGAAAUGGUUUUUCUACUUCCUGCCUCCCCAUGAGUCACCAAGAAACCGUCCACUAUAGAGACCGGUCUGCUGUCUUCCCUGCAGUCCCCGACGUGGUGUCCUGCACACCAAGGUGCCCUGUGGGCGCUCAGUGGACUGGAUCACGGGUACAGAGAGCUCCCUGAGACCUGGCAUUAUUCCAAUCAGGCCUCCGGAUUCUGUAUUUUCACAUUUUAAAAAUGUGACUCAUAGAAAAUUUAUUUAACUUGUGAACGAGGGAACCAGUCAGAUGGGGUAAGCUCCUUCCAAGAGCAGUUAAGGAUCUGUGGGCAGAUUUUUAAAGAAUCUUAGGAUAUGAUUACCAGGCUAUGGGCAAAGCUGCUUAACACCCCUCAAGGAGAAAGAAAAAAAAAAUCCUAUUCCUUUAAGGUGGUCUUUUCCACAGGACAGAAGUUUACAAGUGGGUGUGUAAUUCAUCACGUUGAUCUUCUGAUAAAACAGUUAAUGUCCAAGUUAGAAACCGGGUGCAGUGGUGCACACCUACAAUCCCCGUGACUUAGGAGGCUGAGGCAGGAGGAGGAUCCCAGCAAGUUCAAGGCCCGUCUUCACAACUUACCAAGACCCUGUCUCAAAAAAAA
Molecule: long non-coding RNA, 1480 nt
Organism: Ictidomys tridecemlineatus (thirteen-lined ground squirrel)
Lineage: Eukaryota; Metazoa; Chordata; Mammalia; Rodentia; Sciuridae
Source: RefSeq, a predicted model, not a curated record